UGGGUUGUGGCUCAGCGGUAGAGUGCUUUCCUCACAUGUGUGGCACCCUGGGUUCGAUCCUCAGCACCACAU
RNAcentral lists this transfer RNA (72 nucleotides) under Marmota monax (woodchuck). Its description in RNAcentral is "tRNA.Val". The record is from RNAcentral. Lineage: Eukaryota; Metazoa; Chordata; Mammalia; Rodentia; Sciuridae.